GACGAACGCUGGCGGAGCGCCUAACACAUGCAAGUCGAACGGAGUUACUCUGAAUGAAGUUUUCGGAUGGAUUUUGGAUUAACUUAGUGGCGAACGGGUGAGUAACGCGUGAGUAACCUGCCCUGGAGUGGGGGACAACAGUUGGAAACGACUGCUAAUACCGCAUAAGCCCACAGUGCCGCAUGGCACAGCGGGAAAAGGAUUUAUUCGCUUCAGGAUGGACUCGCGUCCAAUUAGCUAGUUGGUGAGGUAACGGCCCACCAAGGCGACGAUUGGUAGCCGGACUGAGAGGUUGAACGGGCCACAUUGGGACUGAGACACGGCCCAGACUCCUACGGGAGGCAGCAGUGGGGGAUAUUGCACAAUGGGGGAAACCCUGGAUGCAGCGACGCCGCGUGGAGGGAAGAAGGGUUUUCGGAUUGUAAACUCCUGUCGUUAGGGACGAUAAUGACGGGUACCUAACAAGAAAGCACCGGCUAAACUACGUGCCAGCAGCCGCAAGUAAA
This 506-nucleotide ribosomal RNA is filed under the name uncultured bacterium. RNAcentral's name for it is "bacterial SSU rRNA". It matches the Rfam family "Bacterial small subunit ribosomal RNA", at positions 28 to 525 of the family's 1533-position model. The record is from RNAcentral.